This 496-nucleotide ribosomal RNA is filed under the name uncultured soil bacterium. RNAcentral describes it as "bacterial SSU rRNA". It matches the Rfam family "Bacterial small subunit ribosomal RNA", at positions 26 to 525 of the family's 1533-position model. The record is from RNAcentral.
AGAUUGAACGCUGGCGGCAUGCCUUACACAUGCAAGUCGAACGGUAGAGUAGCAAUACUUGAGAGUGGCGAACGGGUGAGUAAUAUAUCGGAACGUGCCCAGUCGUGGGGGAUAACGUAGAGAAAUUUACGCUAAUACCGCAUACGAUCUAAGGAUGAAAGCGGGGGACCGUAAGGCCUCGCGCGAUUGGAGCGGCUGAUAUCAGAUUAGGUUGUUGGUGAGGUAAAAGCUCACCAAGCCGACGAUCUGUAGCUGGUUUGAGAGAACGACCAGCCACACUGGGACUGAGACACGGCCCAGACUCCUACGGGAGGCAGCAGUGGGGAAUUUGGACAAUGGGCGAAAGCCUGAUCCAGCAAUGCCGCGUGCAGGGAAGAAGGCCUUCGGGUUGUAAACUGCUUUGUACGAACGAAACGGUCUGCUUUAAUACAGUGGCUAAUGACGGUACCGUAAGAAUAAGCAACCGGCUAACUACGUGCCAGCAGCCGCGGUAAUC